AGGAAGCGGGAGCGUGCGUGGGAUGGCGGGAGCGUGCGGGCUGCUGAGCCGAGGCCCACGGGGGUGGGGGCUGAGCUAUAAAGAAGGCCCAGGCAAACUUGUGAAUUGCUUCUUCCACCGAGUACUUGGUCUGCCCAGAAACACAUGCCUCAAUGUCCUCGGAGUUCAGAUGGCUCUGCAGAAAGAGGUGUAGGCUGCUGUCAGAGAGCAAAAGUGCAUUCUGCAGAACUCUGUACAAAAAAAAAAAAAAAAGAGGAAAGAAAAUAAUGGAUGAGCAGGCAUGAGCAGAGAUCGGGUAGCAGACAGGAAACCCUUGCAAUGGUACCACUGAUCUCUCCGCUCCUCUGAGAACUUUGCCCCGACGCUGGGCCCUGCCCACCAAUGGGGUGAAAACAUAUGCUAACUUUUACUCAAUUAUUUGGAAUCUUAGGUGAGUAAAAACACGAAGCUAAUGGUUAAGGACAUCUGUUAAAAGAAUAACUUCAAGGACAUUUCUUCGAUUUAACCAUCUGUUAAGACCAUGUGGAUUAAUUAUGGAAAUGUUUUGCUUAUAUGGUUAUAGAAAUUUA
Long non-coding RNA from Peromyscus eremicus (cactus mouse), 569 nucleotides. RefSeq lists it as uncharacterized. NCBI's taxonomy places the organism in Eukaryota, Metazoa, Chordata, Mammalia, Rodentia, Cricetidae. The record is from RefSeq and is a predicted model, not a curated record. The transcript has 2 exons.